This is a long non-coding RNA of Dermochelys coriacea (leatherback sea turtle), 1053 nucleotides long. RefSeq lists it as uncharacterized. NCBI's taxonomy places the organism in Eukaryota, Metazoa, Chordata, Testudines, Dermochelyidae. The transcript has 3 exons. The record is from RefSeq and is a predicted model, not a curated record.
CCAGUGCUCUCACAUGACUAUACAAGCCAUGUUAAAGCACUGCUGUGGCAGCGCUUUAAUGUUGCCAGUGUAGACACGCCCAAAAUUAAUGCUGCAAUAGGAUCAUCAGACAGUAACCGGAGAGCUAAAAUCACCCCGACGUUAGAAUUCCUAGAAAUUAAUGAUGGACACGCUCCCUCAGUCAAAGGGCUUAAUCAUCACAAGUAAUCUGGGGUGGAUAUACACCAAAACCAAAUUGUGACACUUCUUGAUUCAGGUAGCCUGCAAAAGUGUAACUUAAUACCCACUUCUACCUGUGGAGCUGCAUUUCUGACCUGCAAGACACACCUACAGAGCCUACCCCCAGCCUAGAAGACACAGCUGAAUCCCUGGGACUUAGAACCUUAUCAACAAGCUGAAGAGGUACCAGCCAGUGUCUCGGAUUUUUAAGUGACACUUUAGUCACUAGCUGUACAGUCUCUAGUUUACAAGAUGAGGAUACAAAGUUAUUAGCUUAAAGCUAGUCAUCUGAUUUUCCCCAGGAAGAACAACAAACAAUGAGAGACAUCCAGGACACAAGAGUGUUUCAGUGCAUAUCUAAUUGCUGGAAAUCACUCCCAGAGGUCACUUGGGAGCGUGGGUAUUGGGGCUAAUACUGCAAAUCCAAUGAGAAAAGCACUGAAGGCACUUUUAAAGCAAAGAAACUCCAAGAAGCCCAGGACUUCUGAUUUCAUUUUUAAAGGCCAGAGGCUACAUCUUAGAAAAGCAGCUAAGUCUGAAUGGGAUGAAAAUAGUUGGCCUCAUUCAGCUUUUCAAAACCGGUGACUAAACCAAGGAAAAGGUCAGAAAUGCUGGCACACAGCCAAAUCUUGCUGAUAACAUGUACUGAUGGAUUCCAUCAACUAGCCUUGAUGGAGAGAGUUGAUAUCAGGAGACAAUCACCGCCCUGAAGCAUUAUGAGAUUGAAGACACAGUGAGCAGCAUUUAACCAGAGGAACACAUGCAGCCCUGGGAAAGCAAUUAAUAUUCUAGUUUGCUCAGAAGAAAUCUAAUAAAUGCCCUACUACCAAGUAA